GAGAUGUAACAUCUUCGAGUCAUUUUAGUUCAGGGACUAUUUAUUAAUGUACACUCAUGAUGAAUGCUGGCUGCCUCUAGAACAGGAGUCAAGGAGAUUAAAAGCUCCUGUCUCAUGAACCUACGCUGUGGUCCCAGUCCCUAGAGGGACAGAGAAACUACCUGAGCUUGAGGAGUGAAGGGGAGGCUACCUGAGUCUGGAUGGCAGCACGCAUCUUCAGAAAAGGGAAUCUGUCACUCAAAUUCCCAGGAAGAGAUAGCCAGAUCUUCAAAGGAGGCAGACAGUCAGUGUUCUGAAGGAACACUGUCUGGACACAUAGGACCACAGCCAGACACGUGUCCAUUGACCUUGUUGGAGCUUGAUUCUGUUGCUGAACUGGAGGGAUUUCAGGCUCAGAGCAAGUGUCACACCAACUGAUUGAAGCACAUGGAACUGACUGUAGCUUCUGUUGCGUCCAUUUGAAGGAACUCACUCUUCAGAUGCUGGAAUCAACGUUUCUACAGCCCACUUGGUGACAAGAGGUAGAUGCCACCUUGUGUGUGCUUGCUCCUGGAGUCUUAAUACAGGAAGGUAUGAAGAAUGGAAAGAUCAGUGCAGCCUGACCUGGUCUUGUCUCUGUGUACAAAGAAGACUCUGUCCUUAACUUCUGAAGAAUCCCCUAUUUGCUAUCUUAUGACUAGCAUGGUACAUGUAAUUAAAAUCAUAUGCAUUAUGGGAAAGGUCAGGCCAAUCAAAAUGGAGAACCCAGUCAGUAUGAUGGCCUGGCGCAUACACAAGUAUCUGCUGACCUGAUUUGGAUCCUUGAAACCCCCAAGGUCGAAGAAGAGAACUGAAUCCUGCCAGUUGGCUUUUGACUUCUACAUCCAUGUGGUAACACACAUGAACCCUAACAUAUGUGCACUCAAAUUAAAUAAGUGUAAAAGAAGAUCUAUUAAAAACAAACAAACAAACAAACUCCCCCUUCUCUAAAACCCCAUAAACGGAACCCCCAAACAGUGAUAAGAGACCUUGGCUAUCUCCACUCACAUGC
Molecule: long non-coding RNA, 1030 nt
Organism: Mus musculus (house mouse)
Lineage: Eukaryota; Metazoa; Chordata; Mammalia; Rodentia; Muridae
Product: predicted gene, 33326
Exons: 4
Source: RefSeq, a predicted model, not a curated record